ACCGUGGAAAAUCUAGAGCUAAUACAUGCGAAAAACAACUCGUAGGUGCGGCAACGUAACUGCGGGUUAUGCAUUUAUUAGAUUAAGCCAAUCAAUGGUGCUAUGGGUAACUGUAGUAUUGUUGCAGUGGUGAGUCUGGAUAACUGUGCCGAUCGUAUGGCCUUGAGCCGGCGACGUUUCGAUUAAAUUUCUGCCCUAUCAACUUGUUGGUAAGGUAGUGGCUUACCAAGGUGAUAACGGGUAACGGGGAAUCAGGGUUCGAUUCCGGAGAGGGAGCCUGAGAAACGGCUACCACAUCCAAGGAUGGCAGCAGGCGCGCAAAUUACCCAAUCCAGACACUGGGAGGUGGUGACGAGAAAUACCAGGUCGUUCCCAAAAGGAUUCGACACUGGAAUGAGUGCAAUUUAAAAAUUUCAAUGAGUAACAACUGGAGGGCAAGUCUGGUGCCAGCAGCCGCGGUAAUUCCAGCUCCAGUAGUGUAUCCAAACGUUGCUGCGGUUAAAACGCUCGUAGUUGGACAAGAGAGUAGCUUGGUGCGGGCGGGGAGUGUUUUUACUUUAUGUGUAAUUCUUUUGGUGUGCAGAUCUGUCGUAAGAUGGGUUUGUGCAUUGAUUGGAUCUUGAGCAUAUUUGUAUCGCUUGUCGACCAUGCUGCCAGGCUACUUGUAAUGUUUCGUGAGAAUGUUACAUGAUCUUUAUUGUAUUGUGUAAUGUGUCUUACGUAGUGUGCCUUGAAUAAAUCAGAGUGCUCAAAGCAAGCUAUAGCUUGAAUGUUAAUAGCAUGGAACGAAUGUUUAGUGGAAGUGAGCUUGUUGAAUUCACUUGUGGGUUCGAUGGUUCACAGCAC
RNAcentral lists this ribosomal RNA (846 nucleotides) under Myxosporea sp. 2 EE-2004. RNAcentral's name for it is "bacterial SSU rRNA". It matches the Rfam family "Eukaryotic small subunit ribosomal RNA", at positions 146 to 878 of the family's 1831-position model. The record is from RNAcentral. Lineage: Eukaryota; Metazoa; Cnidaria; Myxozoa.